Molecule: ribosomal RNA, 472 nt
Filed under: uncultured bacterium
Lineage: Bacteria
Description: bacterial SSU rRNA
Rfam family: Bacterial small subunit ribosomal RNA
Source: RNAcentral
UCGGGAAUUUUGGGCAAUGGGCGAAAGCCUGACCCAGCAACGCCGCGUGUGUGAAGAAGGUCUUCGGAUUGUAAAGCACUUUAAGUUGGGAGGAAGGGCAGUUACCUAAUACGUAUCUGUUUUGACGUUACCGACAGAAUAAGCACCGGCUAACUCUGUGCCAGCAGCCGCGGUAAUACAGAGGGUGCAAGCGUUAAUCGGAAUUACUGGGCGUAAAGCGCGCGUAGGUGGUUUGUUAAGUUGGAUGUGAAAUCCCCGGGCUCAACCUGGGAACUGCAUUCAAAACUGACAAGCUAGAGUAUGGUAGAGGGUGGUGGAAUUUCCUGUGUAGCGGUGAAAUGCGUAGAUAUAGGAAGGAACACCAGUGGCGAAGGCGACCACCUGGACUGAUACUGACACUGAGGUGCGAAAGCGUGGGGAGCAAACAGGAUUAGAUACCCCUGUAGUCCCUGAGCGGGCUGGCAAGGCGCAU